AUGAAGGUCAGACUCAUCUGCACCCUGAACGGUUACUUUCCCAAAAACCUGAGUGUGGAGUGGCAGCAGAACAAGCAGCAGCUGACACAGAUCCAGCCCACAGAAAGACAUCUGCAGAGUGUGGAGGGGGGAGAGAAGACCUACAGUCUGACCUCUGAGAUUGAGCCAAACAUGGAAGAGUGGACAAGAGGCUCCAAUUUUACCUGCAAGUUCAUUCACAAGGAGAACAAAGAUGAAAAGACAACAAGUAUUUGUCACAUCUUUGGAUCCAAUCCUCCUUCCAUUCGUGUGGAGAUUCCCAGCUUCAAGACAGUGAUGAUGACCAACUCUGAUGUGAAAGCUAGAUGCUUCAUCCACAAUGUUGAUGCUAAGCUGGUCUGGCUGAUGGACGGGGAACAACCAUCCACUGACAGAGUGAAUGAAUUCUCAAACAAAACCACUUUAAUCAGUGAACUGACAGUUCCAUCCAGCAGCUGGAAAAACCUGAAACUUCUGAAAUGUAAAGUUCAGCAUCACUGCUUUUCUGCUGAGAAGACUGUAGAGAUUUCAGGUUCUGCAGUUUCAGCUCCUCAUGUGGACAUCAGGAGAUCUCUGUCAGACCUGCAGACAGAAAACAAUGAUGUGAAGCUGCACUGUGACCUUUCACAGCUCUCCUCACAGCACCUCUAUGUCACACUUCAGUCCAAAGGAGCUGACAUUUCUGACAAACAGUAUGUUGAUCUUCCUGAAGCUCCAGCCUCACAUACAGUCAGUGUCAGCUUCUCUGUUCCUCACAUCUACUGGAAGAGUGACCAGAGUUUCACCUGCAAAGUCCAUCAAGGCUUUUCCAGCCAGUCUUUUGAGUCCAAAGCUAUCAGUGUUUUUGUGGAUCCAUCAGUGGAAGUCCUUCAGGUCUCCAGUAAAGAGUCAGGACAACACAAACUCCUGUGUUCUGCAUCAGGCUUUAAUCCACAAAUUAGUUGGUUUUCUGACUCAGUUUCCAAAUCAGCAUCAAGCACAGACAUCAGCAUGGAUACAAAUGGACGUGUGACUGUAAUCAGUCGACUGGAGGUUCUUCAGACAGAGUGGAAAACAGGGAAGACCUUCACCUGUGAAGUGUUUGACAAGUUUCUAAAUAAACGUGACAGAAAGGACAUCAGCCUCUGUUCAGACCUUAAUCCUCCAACUGUGAGGAUUGUGGAACCAAGUGCUGCUGAACUCUCCGUGUCUGACAUUCUCCCACUAACCUGCUUAGUUUCUGGUUAUUUCCCAUCUAACAUCUCGGUGCAUUGGAAGGAGAAUGGUCAGAAAGUCUCAUCUUCUCGUUACAUUAACAGUCCUUCAUUCAAGGAUCCAGACAGCAGCUCUUAUUCAAUGAGCAGCAGACUGAAUGUGUCUCAAACUAAUGACAAGAAGUCAACUUAUACUUGUGUUGUGAGACAUGAAUCCUCCAACAGUCCAUUUGAAAGCAGUAUAAAGGAUGUUUUUGAUGUGCUGUUUAGGUCGCCCAAUCUCACAACAAGUUUUUCCCUUGAUGAGGAAAAGCAACAGGCUUCUUUCUACUGCUUUGCCAAAGAUUUUUCUCCUAGGACCCAUGAGAUCAUUUGGCAGAAAGUUGGCAGCGAAAAAGCCAGCAUCCUUGAUGAGACCAGUGUUUUCUCAGAGGGAAGAAAUGACACAAAUGGAGCUAAGCUGUAUUCUGCAGCAAGUUUGCUCACAGUAAACCCCACUGAGCUGACUUCUGGAGCAACAUUUACAUGUGUGUUCAAGGGGAAAGGUGUGAACAAUACUGACGUGUUGGAAAAGGCUAAUGCCACCUACAAGGAAGAAUCUUCUGGAGUCCCACCAGAGUUUCUGCAUGAAACUGUUUGCUCCUGCAAAGAGGAGAUGGAAGCAGAGGAAGACCACAUGGCAAACACAGCCCUGACCUUCAUCUUCCUCUUCAUCAUGACUUUGUUGUUCACUGUUGGAACCAAAUUUUCAAAGAUCAAAUGAAAAAAGGAAGAAUCA
Oryzias latipes (Japanese medaka) is the source of this 1989-nucleotide non-coding RNA. NCBI's taxonomy places the organism in Eukaryota, Metazoa, Chordata, Actinopteri, Beloniformes, Adrianichthyidae. The record is from the annotation of a RefSeq genome assembly.